AACGAACGCUGGCGGCGUGCCUAACACAUGCAAGUCGAACGAGAAAGUUUCCUUCGGGAAAUCAGUAAAGUGGCGCAAGGGUGAGUAACACGUGAAUAAUCUGCCUACGAAUUCGGGAUAACUCGGCGAAAGUUGUGCUAAUACCGAAUAAGACCACGUCUCUUAUGUGAUGUGGCCAAAGGAGUCUCAAACUCCGUUUGUAGAUGAGUUCGCGCACCAUUAGCUUGUUGGCGGGAUAACAGCCCACCAAGGCUACGAUGGUUAGCCGACCUGAGAGGGUGAUCGGCCACACUGGAACUGAGACACGGUCCAGACUCCUACGGGAGGCAGCAGUGGGGAAUAUUGCGCAAUGGGCGAAAGCCUGACGGCAGCAACGCCGUGUGAGGGAUG
Molecule: ribosomal RNA, 390 nt
Filed under: uncultured Nitrospina sp.
Lineage: Bacteria; Pseudomonadati; Nitrospinota; Nitrospinia; Nitrospinales; Nitrospinaceae
Description: bacterial SSU rRNA
Rfam family: Bacterial small subunit ribosomal RNA
Source: RNAcentral